Molecule: ribosomal RNA, 1878 nt
Filed under: Methanomicrobium mobile BP
Lineage: Archaea; Methanobacteriati; Methanobacteriota; Methanomicrobia; Methanomicrobiales; Methanomicrobiaceae
Description: bacterial LSU rRNA
Rfam family: Archaeal large subunit ribosomal RNA
Source: RNAcentral
AAGGAAGCCGAAGCGAAAGCAACAGGUUCGUAGUCGCAAGACAUGGAACGACGUAUUAAAAGUGCGUGAAGUCAACAGGAUCAUACCCGAAGCCCGGUGAUCUAUGCGUGGGCUGGCUGAAGGGUGACGAAAGUUGCGUGGAGGGCCUAAGCGGUAUUGAUAUGCAAAUCAUUCGUGUGACCUGCGUAUAGGGGUGAAAGGCCAAUCGAACCGGGCAUCCGCUGGUUCCUCUCGAAACAUGCCGUAGCAUGACCUGAACCGAGGCCGAUGGUGAGGUAGAGCACUGAUUUAGGAAGUUGGGGAAGAAAUUCCUCACUCUUUUGUCAAACUCCGAAUUCCCCAUCGCCGCAGACGUUCGGCAGUCCGCACUACGGGGUAAGCUUGUAGUGCGUAAGGGAGACAACCCAGACCGUGGUUAAUGUCCCUCAGUGUAGGUUAAGUGUAAACACUAAAUGAGGUCCUAGGUCAAAGACAACUGGAAGGUGAGCUCAGAAGCAGCUAUCCUUAAAAAAGUGCGUAACAGCUUACCAGUCGAGAUUUAGGGCGCAGAAAAUGGACGGGGCUCAAACCUACCACAGAUACCACGGACCACAGCAAUGUGAUGGCGUAGAGAGGCGUCCUGUAUGGGUAGAAGCAGGGGUGUAAGUUCCUGUGGACCGUAUAGGAAUGAGAAUUCCGGCAGUAGUAGAAGCAAAGUCCGGUGAGAAUCCGGACCGCCGAAGGGGCUAGGUUUCCUCGACAAUGUUCGUCAGUCGAGGGUUAGUCGGUCCUAAGUUGUACCGUAACUCGAGUAUAGCGAAAGGGAAACAGGUUAAUAUUCCUGUACUGUCUGUCAACAAUCCUAACGUUUCCGGAUAAGCUCUGCAGGGUCGUCGCCCUGUUCAAGCGUAUAACCUCUUGGAGAACCGUCAUGGUGAGAAUAGAGUGAAAUCGUGAUGAAUCCUAGAGCCGACUUCGGGAACCCGUGAAAAAGGGACAAGACAUCCGUACCGAGAUCUGACACAGGUGCCCCUAGCUGAAAAGGCUAAGGCGUGUCGGUUUAAUUGUAGUUUAGGGAAUUCGGCAAAAUAGCCCCGUAACUUAGGAAUAAGGGGUGCCUGCCCGGUGAUCGGGCAGGUCGCAGUGACCAGGGGACUCCAACUGUCUAAUAACAACAUAGCAGACUGCAACUCAGUAAUGACUAGUAUAGUCUGUGAUUCCUGCCCAGUGCAGGUAUCUGAACACCGGGUACAACCGGACGAAGGACCUGUAAACGGCGGGGGUAACUAUGACCCUCUUAAGGUAGCGUAGUACCUUGUCGCUUAAUUGGCGACUUGCAUGAAUGGAUUAAUGAGAGUCCCACUGUCCCAAACACAAGUCCGUUGAAGCUUUUAUCCUAGUGCAGAGGCUAGGGCCUCCAUAUGGGAAGUGAAGACCCCGUGGAGCUUUACUGCAGCCUGUUGUUGUGUUACGAUAUCCCUUGCGCAGCGUAGAUGGGAGACGUUUGAGACGUAACUUGCGGGUUACGUUUAGUCGUAAUCUGAGACACCAUCCUUGGUUUAUUGUAACACUAACUCUCUUUGAGAGGACAUCGGUAGGUAGGCAGUUUGGGUGGGGCGCCACACCCUCGAAAAGAUAUCAAGGGUGCCCCAAGGUCAACUCAUGUGAGUCAGAAACUCACAGGAGAGUGUCAAGAGCAAAAGUUGGCCUGACGCUGAUACGCAUAGCAAGUAUCUGCGAGAGGAAACUCGGGUCUAACGAACCAAUACGCGCUUUUGAUGAGUGCUAUUGACGACAGAAAAGCUACCCCGGGGAUAACAGAGUUGUCGCCGGCAAGAGCACAUAUCGACCCGGCGGCUUGCUACCCCGAUGUCGGUUCUUUCCAUCCUGGCUGUGCAG